This 459-nucleotide ribosomal RNA is filed under the name uncultured bacterium. RNAcentral's name for it is "partial 16S ribosomal RNA". It matches the Rfam family "Bacterial small subunit ribosomal RNA", at positions 338 to 795 of the family's 1533-position model. The record is from RNAcentral.
CCUACGGGUGGCAGCAGUGAGGAAUAUUGGUCAAUGGACGAGAGUCUGAACCAGCCAAGUAGCGUGAAGGAUGACUGCCCUAUGGGUUGUAAACUUCUUUUAUAUGGGAAUAAAAUGUUCCACGUGUGGGAUUUUGUAUGUACCAUAUGAAUAAGGAUCGGCUAACUCCGUGCCAGCAGCCGCGGUAAUACGGAGGAUCCGAGCGUUAUCCGGAUUUAUUGGGUUUAAAGGGAGCGUAGGUGGAUUGUUAAGUCAGUUGUGAAAGUUUGCGGCUCAACCGUAAAAUUGCAGUUGAAACUGGCAGUCUUGAGUAAAGUAGAGGUGGGCGGAAUUCGUGGUGUAGCGGUGAAAUGCUUAGAUAUCACGAAGAACUCCGAUUGCGAAGGCAGUUCACUGGACUGCAACUGACGCUGAGGCUCGAAAGUGUGGGUAUCAAACAGGAUUAGAUACCCUGUAGUC